Engraulis encrasicolus (European anchovy) is the source of this 797-nucleotide long non-coding RNA. RefSeq lists it as uncharacterized. The record is from RefSeq and is a predicted model, not a curated record. NCBI's taxonomy places the organism in Eukaryota, Metazoa, Chordata, Actinopteri, Clupeiformes, Engraulidae. The transcript is spliced from 2 exons.
CACCACAAUAAGUGUACACGUUCAGACAUAUGGUUCAUGGAUGCUGCCUGCCAGACAGACUGCAUUGCCACCUGGACUACAGCCACACCAGUUAUCCUUGAAGACAUUGCUGCCCCAGCCAUGGAGUAAAUAUGGCUCUCCUCUACAAUGAAAAUUCAAACGAACAACCGGCCCUAUGACUACCUGCAGGAGGUGUACCUUUCUUCAAAAUUGCCAAGACCAAGAAGGGAUAGUGCAUCAACCAUCAAAAGAUUAAGCCAACCUUUUGGUAAGUUUUCAAAAGAAUGCAUUCAAUUCAACUCAAUUUGACAUAACAUGUUUUAAUGGCGUUACUUCAAUAGCACAUUAAGUCUACAAAAUAGGAGAAUUAGAAUUCUAAACAAUAUGUGUGCUUUUUUCUGUAUGUUUUGUGUGAAAAGGUCAUGUUCAUGUUCAUGGAAGUCAUUCUGGACAAGGUCUUUGGGAACCCUGCAAAGCAGACUGAGGCAAUGUUGGCGUUGGUGCAGUUCACAGACGAGCCAGCCAGAUAAAGAGGUCACAGCAAGCCUUGUGUUGAGGUUCAUGCGUACUGCAGUCUGAAUCCCCGGUGUAGUGUCCUUCGUCAUCAAGGAACUCAGCAUGGAUAUGCACGACAACACGGGAAUCACUGUUGGACUUGAAGCAGCUGGAAAAAAAGAAAAGACAGUUGCAGAGAUUGUUAUUGCCGUCAUUCUUUCACUACAAUAUUUGUCUUCAAUAAAUAUGUUCCUAUGGAAUACUCUUGAUGCUGUUGUAAAUAAAUGUUCACACUGCCUUUA